AUUGAACGCUGGCGGCAUGCUUUACACAUGCAAGUCGAACGGUAACAGGUUAAGCUGACGAGUGGCGAACGGGUGAGUAAUGCAUCGGAACGUGCCCGAUCGUGGGGGAUAACGCAGCGAAAGCUGCGCUAAUACCGCAUACGAUCUGAGGAUGAAAGCGGGGGACCGUAAGGCCCCGCGCGAUCGGAGCGGCCGAUGUCAGAUUAGGUAGUUGGUGGGGUAAAGGCUCACCAAGCCAACGAUCUGUAGCUGGUCUGAGAGGACGACCAGCCACACUGGGACUGAGACACGGCCCAGACUCCUACGGGAGGCAGCAGUGGGGAAUUUUGGACAAUGGGCGAAAGCCUGAUCCAGCAGUGCCGCGUGCAGGAAGAAGGCCUUCGGGUUGUAAACUGCUUUUGUACGGAGCGAAAAGGCUCUCUCUAAUACAGGGGGCUCAUGACGGUACCGUAAGAAUAAGCACCGGCUAACUACGUGCCAGCCGCCGCGGUAA
Molecule: ribosomal RNA, 493 nt
Filed under: uncultured bacterium
Lineage: Bacteria
Description: partial 16S ribosomal RNA
Rfam family: Bacterial small subunit ribosomal RNA
Source: RNAcentral